Molecule: long non-coding RNA, 1300 nt
Organism: Tupaia belangeri chinensis (Chinese tree shrew)
Lineage: Eukaryota; Metazoa; Chordata; Mammalia; Scandentia; Tupaiidae
Exons: 5
Source: RefSeq, a predicted model, not a curated record
ACUUUAUCUGCCGCUCCAUCUACUGACCCAAUUUUAAUUAAUUUUUUAAUUAAAAAAAUUUAAAGAGAAAAUGGAGUGGGGAGGGGAGAGAGAGAGAGAGAGAGGUUUUUGGCAGAGUUUCACCAUGCCUUAAUCCACCUGCCCCAGACUCCUACUUACCCAAGAUCACAGGUGUGUGGCACCACACUUGGCUUGCUUUAGACUGCUAAAACUAUUUCCAAGAAGCUUGCAAAUGAGGUUGGUGCUACCGAUUUACAAACCACACUGGAGCAACAAGGGUUUAGAGUAAGCGAAGCCCUGGUUGGCGCAUCCCCCUCUGUAACUGCCUCCUUCCUAAGGACCAUGCCCCUCCCUCCCAGUACAGGGAGCAGGAGCCCUUGGUCACUUCUGAAUCUGUACACAGAGUGGUUUGUUUGGGGACCUGUGGUCCAGUAGGCUACAGUAAAGACUGUUGGCUGGAGGAAAAGUGGGCAGGUAAAAAGGUGCCAUGGGCUUGGAGAUUUUAUUGUUUGUUUUUUUCUCUGGUGUUCAAAAGGAGGGAGAACUCAUCUGCGGCCCUUGCAAGCAAUGUGGAAGAUAAAGAAAAGGAAGGGGCUUCAAAAGGAUGUGGACUGAGUUUGAGAUAAGACUGUUUGCUCUGUGGAUGAAUCAAGGAAAUUCUUUCAAAAGCAAAUGCACAUGUGCCAAGAAGAAGCAAGGAUGAAGAGAAAAGAAGUGUGGAGACAAGGUUCAUGGAGUUAAAGCAUUCUAAGGAAGUGGGUUUGUGUAAUAUGGACUAAGUUCUUGUCAGGAGACAGGAUUUCCCUAUGUCAUGAUCCUACUGUCUCAGCCUCCUGAGUAGAUGGGACUACAGGUGCACACCUUCACACCAAGCUUUUAGGGUGGACCAGGAAUCAAACCUGUACCUCUCUUGUGACCUGUCAAGUAGCAGCAUCCAUUAUCACACACUACAGCAGGUUCUGAGCAGAGGUGUCACUACCACAAGGGCCGGAAGCAGACACCACAGCAGUGCUCAGCUGGGUGGCAGGCCCCACUGAGUUUCAUCGGUGGGGAAGCCACCCAAAGCUGCCACAGCCAGUAGAUGUCACACAUGCAGCCUCGGGUCACAACACCGUCCCCAAAAUUCCCAGGAAACUCUCAGGGCACAGGCACGAAGAGGCUGACGUCAACUUACACUUCGGUUAUUUAAAACUUUUAGAAAUAAUUCCAGUGCCCUUUUUUGGUAGCAUGAUAAGUUGAUCUCUCCUGAACGUAAGUCAAUUUGCUUUAUGGGGUUUAUGUCAUAGAAAUGUACAUAGAU